RNAcentral lists this ribosomal RNA (423 nucleotides) under uncultured bacterium. Its description in RNAcentral is "partial 16S ribosomal RNA". It matches the Rfam family "Bacterial small subunit ribosomal RNA", at positions 338 to 778 of the family's 1533-position model. The record is from RNAcentral.
CCUACGGGAGGCAGCAGUGGGGAAUAUUGCACAAUGGGGGAAACCCUGAUGCAGCGACGCCGCGUGAAGGAAGAAGUAUUUCGGUAUGUAAACUUCUAUCAGCAGGGAAGAAAAUGACGGUACCUGACUCAGAAGCCCCGGCUAACUACGUGCCAGCAGCCGCGGUAAUACGUAGGGGGCAAGCGUUAUCCGGAUUUACUGGGUGAAAAGGGAGCGUAGGCGGUUUAGCAAGUCAGAGGUGAAAGCCCGGGGCACAACUCCGGGACUGCUUUUGAAACUGUUGAACUAGGUUGCAGGAGAGGUAAGUGGAAGUCCUGGGGUGGCGGUGAAAUGCGUAGAUAUUAGGGGAAACACCAGGGGCGAAGGCGGCUUACUGGACUGUAAAUGACGCUGGGGCUCGAAAGCGUGGGGGGCAAACAGGAU